UGGGGAAUAUUGGCACAAUGGGCGAAAGCCUGAAUGCAGCGACGCCGCGUGAGGGCAUGACGGCCUUCGGGCUUGUAAAACCUCUUUCAGCAGGGAAGAAGCGAAAGUGACGGUACCUGCAGAAGAAGCGCCGGCUAACUACGUGCCAGCAGCCGCGGUAAUACGUAGGGCGCAAGCGUUGUCCGGAAUUAUUGGGCGUAAAGAGCUCGUAGGCGGUUAGUCGCGUCUGCUGUGAAAACUCGAGGCUCAACCUCGGGCUUGCAGUGGGUACGGGCUGACUAGAGUGCGGUAGGGGUGACUGGAAUUCCUGGUGUAGCGGUGGAAUGCGCAGAUAUCAGGAGGAACACCGAUGGCGAAGGCAGGUCACUGGGCCGCAACUGACGCUGAGGAGCGAAAGCAUGGGGAGCGAACAGGAUUAGAUACCCUGGUAGUCCAUGCCGUAAACGUUGGGCACUAGGUGUGGGGUCCAUUCCACGGAUUCCGUGCCGCAGCAAACGCAUUAAGUGCCCCGCCUGGGGAGUACGGCCGCAAGGCUAAAACUCAAAUGAAUUGACGGGGUCAUAGCUGUUUCCU
RNAcentral lists this ribosomal RNA (573 nucleotides) under uncultured bacterium. RNAcentral describes it as "partial 16S ribosomal RNA". It matches the Rfam family "Bacterial small subunit ribosomal RNA", at positions 355 to 1375 of the family's 1533-position model. The record is from RNAcentral.